RNAcentral lists this ribosomal RNA (3062 nucleotides) under Bifidobacterium xylocopae. RNAcentral describes it as "23S ribosomal RNA". It matches the Rfam family "Bacterial large subunit ribosomal RNA". Lineage: Bacteria; Bacillati; Actinomycetota; Actinomycetes; Bifidobacteriales; Bifidobacteriaceae. The record is from RNAcentral.
GCUGGUAAGGGCGUAUGGUGGAUGCCUUGGCAGACAGUACCGAUGAAGGACGUGUGGGGCCGCGAUAGGCCUCGGGGAGCCGCCGACAGGGCUUUGAUCCGAGGAUUUCCGAAUGGGGCAACCCGCCACCCGUCAUGGGGUGGCACCGCAUUCGUGCGGGGGGUACGCAGGGAAGUGAAACAUCUCAGUACCUGCAGGAGGAGAUAUUCCGUGAGUAGUGGCGAGCGAAAGCGGAUGAUGGCUAAACCCGUGCCGUGUGAUACCCGUCGGGGGUUGCGGUAUGGGUGUUGUGGGACGUUCCGUCCGGGUGCCGACGCGCCCGGCGGUGGUGAUAAAACCGUGUGUGAGGCGAGCAGGAUUGAAUGCCUGGCCGUAGAGGGUGAUGGCCCCGUAGCCGAACGCGCAUGGUCCGCCGGUGGACGCUCCCGAGUAGCGCGGGACUCGUGGAAUCCCGUGUGAAUCCGCACCGACCGUGGUGUAAGCCUGAAUAUACCUGUCUGACCGAUAGCGAACGAGUACCGUGAGGGAAAGGUGAAAAGCACCCCGGGAGGGGAGUGAAACAGUUUCUGAAACCGUGCGCUUACAAACCGUCGGAGCCUUUCGGGGUGACGGCGUGCCUAUCGAAAAAUGAGUCUGCGAGUCAGUGGUGCGUGGCGAGGCUAACCCGUGUGGGGCAGCCGUAGCGAAAGCGAGUCUGAAAAGGCGUUUGAGUCGCGUGCCCUGGACCCGAAGCGGGAUGAUCUAGCCCUGAGCAGGUUGAAGCGCGGGUAAGGCCGCGUGGAGGACCGAACCCACUUAGGUUGAAAACUGAGGGGAUGACUUGGGGUUAGGGGUGAAAGGCCAAUCAAAUUCCGUGAUAGCUGGUUCUCUCCGAAAUGCAUUUCGGUGCAGCGUCGCGUUGUGUGUCUGCCGGGGGUAGAGCUACCGGAUGCCUGAGGGCCCUUGUGGGGUACCGAGGGCAGCCGAACUCCGAAUACCGGUCAGGUGUAUCGCGGCAGUGAGUCGGCGGGGGAUAAGCUCCGUCGUCGAAAGGGAGACAGCCCAGACCGUCGUCUAAGGUCCCUAAGUGUGUGCUAAGUGGGAAAGGAUGUGGAGUCGCAUAGACAGCCAGGAGGUUGGCUCAGAAGCAGCCAUCCUUGAAAGAGUGCGUAACAGCUCACUGGUCUAGUGGCUCCGCGCCGACAAUGUAGCGGGGCUCAAGCACGCCACCGAAGACGCGGCAGCAGCCGUUCGGCUGUUGGGUAGGAGAGCGUUCCGCAUGGGGUGAAGCGGCCGGGUGACCGUGUCGUGGACCGUGCGGAAGUGAGAAUGCAGACAUGAGUAGCGAAAGGCGGGUGACAAUCCCGUCCGCUGGAUGACCAAGGGUUCCAGGGCAACGUUCGUCGUCCCUGGGUGAGUCGGGUCCUAAGGCGAGGCCGACAGGCGUAGUCGAAUGGAUGAACGGGUCGAUAGUCCCGUACCGAUGCGAGCGCGUCAGGCUCGAACCGUUGAGGCCGUGUCUUUCACCGGCCCCGAGGCCGCUUUCGGGCGGCGGAGGGGCGGGUGGUUCAUGGUGGAUGCGGGGAGGGCAGCGCAGGAGUGACGCGAUGGGAGAGCCGGGCCGCGGCGGUGGUAGUCCGUGGUCAAGCGUGCGGCGCGCCAGGCAGGCAAAUCCGUCUGGCAUGAGCGUGAGGCGUGAUGAUGGGGGGUCUUGUGCCCCGAAUCCGGUGGUUCCCGUCGCCGAGAAAACCUUCGGCGUGAGUUCUCGCACCGCCCGUACCCCAAACCGACACAGGUGGUCAGGUAGAGCAUACCAAAGCGAUCGAGCGAAUCCUGGUCAAGGAACUCGGCAAAUUGCUCCCGUGCCUUCGGCAUAAGGGAGACCCAUGGCGGUGAAGGGGCUUGCCCCCGGAGCGGUUGUGGGUGGCACAGGCCAGGGGGUAGCGACUGUUUACCAAAAACACAGGUGCAUGCGAAGGCGUAAGCCGCUGUAUAUGCACUGACGCCUGCCCGGUGCCGGAAGGUUAAGAGGAUCCGUCAUCCAUUUCGGUGGUGAAGCGGUGAAUUCAAGCCCCGGUAAACGGCGGUGGUAACUAUAACCAUCCUAAGGUAGCGAAAUUCCUUGUCGGGUAAGUUCCGACCUGCACGAAUGGCGUAACGACUUCCCCACUGUCUCGACCAGGAGCUCGGCGAAAUUGCAGUACGAGUAAAGAUGCUCGUUAAGCGCAGAAGGACGAAAAGACCCCGGGACCUUUACUAUACCUUGGUAUUGGUGUUAGGCAGCGACUGUGUAGGAUAGGCGGGAGGCUUCGAAGCAUGGGCGCCAGCCCGUGUGGAGCCGGAAAUUGAAAUACCGCUCUGUUGCUGUCUGGCUUCUAACCUCGGCCAGUGAUCCUGGUCAGGGACAGUGCCUGGCGGGUAGUUUAACUGGGGCGGUUGCCUCCCAAAGAGUAACGGAGGCGCUCAACGGUCCCCUCAGCCCGGUUGGCAAUCGGGUUUCGAGUGCAAUCGCACAAGGGGGCUUGACUGCGAGAGCGACGGCUCGAGCAGGGACGAAAGUCGGAGAUAGUGAUCCGGUGCCGGCGUACGGACGCGGCAUCGCUCAACGGAUAAAAGGUACCCCGGGGAUAACAGGCUGAUCAUUCCCAAGAGUCCAUAUCGACGGGAUGGUUUGGCACCUCGAUGUCGGCUCGUCGCAUCCUGGGGCUGGAGCAGGUCCCAAGGGUUCGGCCGUUCGCCGAUUAAAGCGGCACGCGAGCUGGGUUCAGAACGUCGUGAGACAGUUUGGUCUCUAUCCUCUGCGCUCGUUGGAAUCUUGAGGAGACCUGCCCAUAGUACGAGAGGACCUGGGUGGACGAACCUCUGGUAUGCCGGUUGUCGCGCCAGCGGCACGGCCGGUUGGCUACGUUCGGAUGGGAUAACCGCUGAAAGCAUCUAAGCGGGAAGCCCCCUCCAAGAUAAGGAUUCCAUGCGCCCUCCGGGGCGCGAGAGGCCCCAUGUGGAACACGUGGUUGAUAGGCCGGACGCGGACACCCCGCAAGGGGCGGAGCCGACCGGUACUAACGGCCGAUGGCGACACUACA